AACGAACGCUGGCGGCAUGCCUAACACAUGCAAGUCGAACGAGACCUUCGGGUCUAGUGGCGCACGGGUGCGUAACGCGUGGGAACCUGCCCUUAGGUUCGGAAUAACUCCCCGAAAGGGGUGCUAAUACCGGAUAAUGUCUUCGGACCAAAGAUUUAUCGCCCUUGGAGGGGCCCGCGUUGGAUUAGCUAGUUGGUAGGGUAAAAGCCUACCAAGGCGACGAUCCAUAGCUGGGCUGAGAGGAUGAUCAGCCACACUGGGACUGAGACACGGCCCAGACUCCUACGGGAGGCAGCAGUGGGGAAUAUUGGACAAUGGGCGAAAGCCUGAUCCAGCAAUGCCGCGUGAGUGAUGAAGGCCUUAGGGUUGUAAAGCUCUUUUACCCGGGAUGAUAAUGACAGUACCGGGAGAAUAAGCUCCGGCUAACUCCGUG
RNAcentral lists this ribosomal RNA (433 nucleotides) under uncultured bacterium. RNAcentral's name for it is "partial 16S ribosomal RNA". It matches the Rfam family "Bacterial small subunit ribosomal RNA", at positions 29 to 507 of the family's 1533-position model. The record is from RNAcentral.